Molecule: long non-coding RNA, 795 nt
Organism: Magnolia sinica
Lineage: Eukaryota; Viridiplantae; Streptophyta; Magnoliopsida; Magnoliales; Magnoliaceae
Exons: 2
Source: RefSeq, a predicted model, not a curated record
AUGGUUCAGAUUGCCGUGAAUAUAUAUAUAUAUGCGCUGGACUGACUGGGCUUCUUUAGAUAGCGUGCCGUGAAGAGGGGUAUAGUCGUGAUUUAGAAAAGAAAUUAAGGUCAGAAGCGUCUUUCUCUAUCGUCGAUGGCCUUUGUCCUUCUAGGGUUUUUGUUUUGCCUCUUAACCUCUAUUUAAAGACAAAACUCCCCGCAAUGCGUUUGCAUCGUCUCUGCUUCCUAAGGAGGUAAAGGCGAUCCUAACCACUGGAUAAUGUCCUGAGAAUGCCAGAAAUGGUUCAGAUUUGAUGGAAAAGGGUUAGAGAUCCGAAUGGCUACAUGUUCGGACACUGAAUGUAAACUGUUAGUCGUCCAUCUCAGAGCGGGUGUUACUCAACGAUGAUUUCCCUGUUCAAGCCACAGGGCUCAAUUUUUCCUAGAUCCGAUAUUCCAAUCUUACGGGAUUUUUAAUGUUGUAUACCGGGCUCUCCAAACCCGAAGGUAAAAACUGCUGGGCCCACCAUGAUGUAUCUAACUUUUCCACCCUGAUCAUGCCCUCCGCCAGCUCAUUUCAGGUCAUAAGCCUAAAAAUAAGAAGGUUGGAUUUCACCAUAGGAAACGUUGGGAAUUGAAUGCCCAUGGUUGAAAACUUCUUGAGGGCCCAGAAGUUUUAGAUCAAGCCGAUAUUUUUGUUUUUCCCUUCAUCCAUGUUUUUGUGACCUUGUGAAUGUGAAUGGGUUAGAUGAUGAUUAAACAUCAAUGUAGGCUCACAAAAUGAAACAACUUUUAAGAGUCAAUGUUACAUGAA